This 253-nucleotide ribosomal RNA is filed under the name uncultured bacterium. Its description in RNAcentral is "partial 16S ribosomal RNA". It matches the Rfam family "Bacterial small subunit ribosomal RNA", at positions 524 to 776 of the family's 1533-position model. The record is from RNAcentral.
UACGUAGGGUGCAAGCGUUGUCCGGAAUUAUUGGGCGUAAAGAGCUUGUAGGCGGUUUGUCGCGUCUGCUGUGAAAUUUCGGGGCUCAACCCCGAACUUGCAGUGGGUACGGGCAGACUAGAGUGUGGUAGGGGAGACUGGAAUUCCUGGUGUAGCGGUGAAAUGCGCAGAUAUCAGGAGGAACACCGAUGGCGAAGGCAGGUCUCUGGACAGUUCCUGACGCUGAGGCACGAAGGCCAGGGGAGCAAACGGG